RNAcentral lists this ribosomal RNA (465 nucleotides) under Vreelandella stevensii. RNAcentral's name for it is "partial 16S ribosomal RNA". It matches the Rfam family "Bacterial small subunit ribosomal RNA", at positions 338 to 795 of the family's 1533-position model. Lineage: Bacteria; Pseudomonadati; Pseudomonadota; Gammaproteobacteria; Oceanospirillales; Halomonadaceae. The record is from RNAcentral.
CCUACGGGCGGCAGCAGUGGGGAAUAUUGGACAAUGGGGGGAACCCUGAUCCAGCCAUGCCGCGUGUGUGAAGAAGGCCCUCGGGUUGUAAAGCACUUUCAGUGAGGAAGAACGCCUGGUGGUUAAUACCCAUCAGGAAAGACAUCACUCACAGAAGAAGCACCGGCUAACUCCGUGCCAGCAGCCGCGGUAAUACGGAGGGUGCGAGCGUUAAUCGGAAUUACUGGGCGUAAAGCGCGCGUAGGUGGCUUGAUAAGCCGGUUGUGAAAGCCCCGGGCUCAACCUGGGAACGGCAUCCGGAACUGUCAAGCUAGAGUGCAGGAGAGGAAGGUAGAAUUCCCGGUGUAGCGGUGAAAUGCGUAGAGGUCGGGAGGAAUACCAGUGGCGAAGGGGGCCUUCUGGACUGACACUGACACUGAGGUGCGAAAGCGUGGGUAGCAAACAGGAUUAGAUACCCUUGUAGUC